This is a long non-coding RNA of Frieseomelitta varia, 741 nucleotides long. RefSeq lists it as uncharacterized. The transcript is spliced from 3 exons. Lineage: Eukaryota; Metazoa; Arthropoda; Insecta; Hymenoptera; Apidae. The record is from RefSeq and is a predicted model, not a curated record.
AACUAACCAAACUUCCAUUCUACCGCGUAUCAAAAAGAGCCUAUAUCGUAUACCUCGUCUGUGACUUCACGUUCGCCGGAAAAAAUUGAAGAACCAUCCGCGUUUUCAACGGGACGCAACUGAAACAGAUGAAAACUACGCUACCGAGCGUAGAUAAAAAUUUAUAUACAAGCGUCGACGUCACGUGGCUACGCUGAUAUCCCCGAUCCGAACGGGACGAAACUUGCAAGAAUAUCUUGACACUGGGUAGAAUUCCGAGCCAUAUGUGAACCAUUUACGCUCCAACGAUCCAUUCGACGGUCCAUUGGUUCCGUCGAACCUCGACGACGACGACGGGCUUCAAGUUGAAUUUCGAAAUGACGGCGUAGGUGGAACACGGAACGCAGAGGGUUCACUCGCGUUGACUCGUUUUGCAAUUCGGCACCGGUUCUUGUUUCGUACGGUGGAAUAUAAUCGCUGGACGUUCGUCUUACCUCUUGGCAAAGUGUUGCUGCCGAUGUCGAACACCGUUUCCCUCGAAGGAUUACCGUGAGACCCCAUCGGGCUGUUGGAAGACUCCGAGUUCGACGCGUUCGCAGAGCCCUUUCUCGAGAAGAUGUCGUCAUCUCGGCCGAGCGACUGCCUGAACUGAGACUCGGACAAUCGCCUACGUCCCGGAAAAAAAAAACAGACAAAACAAAACUGGUUUAUUGAGGCCCCAAAACGCUUGCGAGGGAUUGGAUCCUAAUCUACCGAAGAGUC